AUACGGAGGGUGCGAGCGUUAAUCGGAAUUACUGGGCGUAAAGCGCGCGUAGGCGGCUAGAUCAGUCGGAUGUGAAAGCCCUGGGCUUAACCUGGGAACUGCAUUCGAUACUGUCUAGCUAGAGUAUGGUAGAGGGAAGCGGAAUUCCGGGUGUAGCGGUGAAAUGCGUAGAUAUCCGGAGGAACACCAGUGGCGAAGGCGGCUUCCUGGACCAAUACUGACGCUGAGGUGCGAAAGCGUGGGGAGCAAACAGGAUUAGAAACCCGAGUAGUCC
Molecule: ribosomal RNA, 274 nt
Filed under: uncultured bacterium
Lineage: Bacteria
Description: partial 16S ribosomal RNA
Rfam family: Bacterial small subunit ribosomal RNA
Source: RNAcentral